RNAcentral lists this unclassified non-coding RNA (522 nucleotides) under Cladosporium allicinum. RNAcentral's name for it is "sequence contains 18S rRNA gene, ITS1, 5.8S rRNA gene, ITS2, 28S rRNA gene". The stretch from base 164 to 317 matches the Rfam family "5.8S ribosomal RNA". Lineage: Eukaryota; Fungi; Ascomycota; Dothideomycetes; Cladosporiales; Cladosporiaceae. The record is from RNAcentral.
GAUCAUUACAAGAACGCCCGGGCUUCGGCCUGGUUAUUCAUAACCCUUUGUUGUCCGACUCUGUUGCCUCCGGGGCGACCCUGCCUUCGGGCGGGGGCUCCGGGUGGACACUUCAAACUCUUGCGUAACUUUGCAGUCUGAGUAAACUUAAUCAAUAAAUUAAAACUUUUAACAACGGAUCUCUUGGUUCUGGCAUCGAUGAAGAACGCAGCGAAAUGCGAUAAGUAAUGUGAAUUGCAGAAUUCAGUGAAUCAUCGAAUCUUUGAACGCACAUUGCGCCCCCUGGUAUUCCGGGGGGCAUGCCUGUUCGAGCGUCAUUUCACCACUCAAGCCUCGCUUGGUAUUGGGCAACGCGGUCCGCCGCGUGCCUCAAAUCGUCCGGCUGGGUCUUCUGUCCCCUAAGCGUUGUGGAAACUAUUCGCUAAAGGGUGUUCGGGAGGCUACGCCGUAAAACAACCCCAUUUCUAAGGUUGACCUCGGAUCAGGUAGGGAUACCCGCUGAACUUAAGCAUAUCUAAAACC